UCGUGCCAGCCACCGCGGUUAUACGAAAGGCUCAAGUUGAUAAUCUUCGGCGUAAAGCGUGGUUAAAAGACCUGUUAAACUAAGGCUGAACUCCCCCAAAGCCGUCAUACGCUCCCGGGAGCAUGAAACCCGACCACGAAGGUGGCCUUAAACCCUCUUGACCCCACGAAAGCUGUGAAACAAACUGGGAUUAGAUACCCCACUAUG
Molecule: ribosomal RNA, 207 nt
Filed under: Poecilia latipinna (sailfin molly)
Lineage: Eukaryota; Metazoa; Chordata; Actinopteri; Cyprinodontiformes; Poeciliidae
Description: partial small subunit ribosomal RNA
Source: RNAcentral